Molecule: small nuclear RNA, 162 nt
Organism: Suncus etruscus (white-toothed pygmy shrew)
Lineage: Eukaryota; Metazoa; Chordata; Mammalia; Eulipotyphla; Soricidae
Product: U1 spliceosomal RNA
Exons: 1
Source: RefSeq, a predicted model, not a curated record
AUACUUACCUGGCAGGAAAGAUACCAUAAUCACAAAGGUAGUUUCCCCAGGACGAGGCUCACCCAUUGCACUCCCGGUGUGCUGAUCCCUGCAAUUUCCCAAAAUGUGGGACUUGACUGCAUAAUUUGUGGUAGUGUGGGACUGUGUUCGCGCUCUCCCCUU